GAGUUUGAUCCUGGCUCAGGAUGAACGCUGGCGGCGUGCCUAACACAUGCAAGUCGAGCGAAGCGCUAUACUUGAAUUCUUCGGAAGGAAAGUAUUGUGACUGAGCGGCGGACGGGUGAGUAACGCGUGGGUAACCUGCCUCAUACAGGGGGAUAACAGUUAGAAAUGACUGCUAAUACCGCAUAAGACCACAGCACCGCAUGGUGCGGGGGUAAAAACUCCGGUGGUAUGAGAUGGACCCGCGUCUGAUUAGCUAGUUGGUAAGGUAAGGGCUUACCAAGGCGACGAUCAGUAGCCGACCUGAGAGGGUGACCGGCCACAUUGGGACUGAGACACGGCCCAAACUCCUACGGGGGGCAGCAGUGGGGAAUAUUGCACAAUGGGGGAAACCCUGAUGCAGCGACGCCGCGUGAGUGAUGAAGUAUUUCGGUAUGUAAAGCUCUAUCAGCAGGGAAGAAAAUGACGGUACCUGACUAAGAAGCACCGGCUAAAUACGUGCCAGCAGCCGCGGU
This 512-nucleotide ribosomal RNA is filed under the name uncultured bacterium. Its description in RNAcentral is "bacterial SSU rRNA". It matches the Rfam family "Bacterial small subunit ribosomal RNA", at positions 9 to 521 of the family's 1533-position model. The record is from RNAcentral.